Molecule: ribosomal RNA, 1174 nt
Filed under: Salmonella enterica subsp. enterica serovar Chester
Lineage: Bacteria; Pseudomonadati; Pseudomonadota; Gammaproteobacteria; Enterobacterales; Enterobacteriaceae
Description: partial 23S ribosomal RNA
Rfam family: Bacterial large subunit ribosomal RNA
Source: RNAcentral
CGUACAAGCAGUGGGAGCACAGGUUUACCUGUGUGACUGCGUACCUUUUGUAUAAUGGGUCAGCGACUUAUAUUCUGUAGCAAGGUUAACCGAAUAGGGGAGCCGGAGGGAAACCGAGUCUUAAUUGGGCGUUAAGUUGCAGGGUAUAGACCCGAAACCCGGUGAUCUAGCCAUGGGCAGGUUGAAGGUUGGGUAACACUAACUGGAGGACCGAACCGACUAAUGUUGAAAAAUUAGCGGAUGACCUGUGGCUGGGGGUGAAAGGCCAAUCAAACCGGGAGAUAGCUGGUUCUCCCCGAAAGCUAUUUAGGUAGCGCCUCGUGAAUUCAUCUCCGGGGGUAGAGCACUGUUUCGGCUAGGGGGCCAUCCCGGCUUACCAACCCGAUGCAAACUGCGAAUACCGGAGAAUGUUAUCACGGGAGACACACGGCGGGUGCUAACGUCCGUCGUGAAGAGGGAAACAACCCAGACCGCCAGCUAAGGUCCCAAAGUCAUGGUUAAGUGGGAAACGAUGUGGGAAGGCCCAGACAGCCAGGAUGUUGGCUUAGAAGCAGCCAUCAUUUAAAGAAAGCGUAAUAGCUCACUGGUCGAGUCGGCCUGCGCGGAAGAUGUAACGGGGCUAAACCAUGCACCGAAGCUGCGGCAGCGACGCUGAUGCGUUGUUGGGUAGGGGAGCGUUCUGUAAGCCUGCGAAGGUGGCCUGUGAGGGUUGCUGGAGGUAUCAGAAGUGCGAAUGCUGACAUAAGUAACGAUAAAGCGGGUGAAAAGCCCGCUCGCCGGAAGACCAAGGGUUCCUGUCCAACGUUAAUCGGGGCAGGGUGAGUCGACCCCUAAGGCGAGGCCGAAAGGCGUAGUCGAUGGGAAACGGGUUAAUAUUCCCGUACUUGGUGUUACUGCGAAGGGGGGACGGAGAAGGCUAUGUUGGCCGGGCGACGGUUGUCCCGGUUUAAGCGUGUAGGUGUGUGUUCCAGGUAAAUCCGGUUCACUUUAACACUGAGGCGUGAUGACGAGGCACUACGGUGCUGAAGCAACAAAUGCCCUGCUUCCAGGAAAAGCCUCUAAGCAUCAGGUAACAUCAAAUCGUACCCCAAACCGACACAGGUGGUCAGGUAGAGAAUACCAAGGCGCUUGAGAGAACUCGGGUGAAGGAACUAGGCAAAAUGGUGCCGUAACU